This is an RNA transcript of Tripterygium wilfordii, 2439 nucleotides long. It is a transcript of the gene named transcription factor MTB3-like, with no coding region annotated. The record is from RefSeq and is a predicted model, not a curated record. NCBI's taxonomy places the organism in Eukaryota, Viridiplantae, Streptophyta, Magnoliopsida, Celastrales, Celastraceae. The transcript has 2 exons.
CAAAACGCGACAGAAGCAAAACCAGUGGAUGAAAAGUGAAAGCAAUUUUUGAGGAACAAAAUUUAAAGAGAGAAACCCCCUCAUGGUGCCCUAGCUGGAGCUGCCUUUCAGAUCUGAAAUUCAACGCCCAGUCUUUCUUAGGGUGGGGUUUUUUGGUUGCCCUGAAGUUGCAAUCUUAGCUCGUGCCCAUGUUGAUCUAAGGUGACCUCUCUUCAUCUUCAGUGUUCUGUACUGUGUAUCUUCUCAGCUUUUAGAGACAAACUAAACUGGGUUUUACAUUUUAGAGAUUUUUGAUGGAUCUGUGAGGUGGGUUUGCCUCAAUUUCUGGUUUUUGGCUAGUUUGAAUGACGACUUACCAGAUAUUUAUGGGAAUUCUGGUUUACGAGAUUUUUUUGAUUUUGAAAAAGUAUUUGGAGUGAAAAGAUCCGUUGAAUUCCAGUUGUGUAGUCUACGAAUUAACUCCUACUAGUGUCUGAGGGGAUUUCAAAAUUAUUUCUAUAGUCGGUGGACGUGAACUUUGUGCUAUUAUCGUAAAGUUAGUUUGAAGAUUCAUUGUUGUAUGCGUUGCUGCUGUGAGAAGUAAUUUAGCAAGCGAAUUAUGAAUUCAGGGUUUGCGUGAGAUAAUUGUGGAGAGACCAAAAUGAAUGAGAAAUUCUGGGUGAAUGAAAGGGACAAGACCAUGAUGGAGUCAGUUUUGGGUACUGAAGCAGGCAACUACUUACUUUCAACUACGAAUAAUGUUUUGCUGAACUUGGUUUCACCCGUGGGUGACUUGGGUGUGCAGCAGGGCCUCUGCCAGCUUGCUGAACGGUCCAAUUGGAACUAUGCCAUUUUCUGGCAGGUUUCAAGCUUAAAAUCUGGUGGGUCGGUUUUAGUUUGGGGCGAUGGGCAUUGCAAGAACCCAAAAGCCGGAACUGGAGACGUGAAUUCUUCUGGGCAGGUCAACUCAGGAGUUGAGACGAAAGAGAAGAUGAAUAAACAGGUUCUUCAAAAGCUGCAUACGUGCUUUCAUGGUUCAAAUGAGGAUAAUUAUGCGGCUCAAUUGGAUGAGGUUUCGGAUGUGGAGAUGUUGUAUCUCACCUCAAUGUACUUUACAUUUCGAUGUGAUUCAGCAUAUGACCUUGUAGAGUCGUUCAAAUCUGGUAGAGUAAUUUGGGCUUCAGAUAUGGUUCGUUGUCUUAAUCAUUACCAGUUGAGAUCUUUUCUUGCGACAUCAGCUGGGUUCCGCACUGUGGUGUUUGUACCUUUGAAAUCUGGAGUUGUGGAACUAGGAUCUGUGAAAUCAAUCCCAGAAGAGAAUGAUAUAAUGGAGAGGGUCAAGACCAUAUUUGAGCUUUCUAACUCUGCUGAAACCAAGGUGUUUCCUAAAAUUUUUGGGCGUGAACUAAGUCUUGGCAGCUCUAAGUCGAGAUCAAUUAGUAUUAACUUUUGCCCAAAGGUAGAAGAUAAUGAUUUGGUUUUCGAUUCUUACGAACUACAAGCAGUCGGUGGCAAACAAAUUUUUGGGAGUACUUCGAAUGGGUGUGCCAGUAAGAAUAAGGAGGCGAAGCUGUCUAACGUAAAUCAAAUGAUUGUUGGAGGCUUCAAUGCCAAAGUAAGUUCUGAUCAGCCUAAAGAUGACCUGUCAACUCCAAAUGAUGACCGCAAACCUAGGAAGAGAGGAAGGAAGCCUGCCAAUGGGAGGGAAGAACCCCUGAAUCACGUGGAAGCAGAGCGGCAGAGGAGGGAGAAGCUUAACCAGAGAUUCUAUGCAUUAAGAGCUGUUGUGCCCAACAUUUCUAAGAUGGACAAGGCCUCUCUACUUGGUGAUGCCAUUACCUAUAUCACUGAUCUCCAAAGGAAGAUCAUGGUUCUGGAAACAGAGAAGGAGCUAGUGAGAAAUAAGCAAAAGCCAUUGCCGGUGGCAGAGAUUGAUUUUCAGCCUAGACAUGAUGAUGCAAUCGUGAGCGUGAGCGUGAGCGUGAGCUGCCCUGUGGAUUCUCAUCCAGUUUCCCAAGUCAUCAAAGCAUUCAAGGAACAUCAAAUUACAGCUCAAGACUCAAAUGUUUCGAUAGUAGAGAACAAGGUUAUACACACGUUCUCGAUUAGAACACAAAUUGGUGCUGCAGAGCAGUUGAAAGAAGAACUUGUUUCAGCCCUCUCCAAAUGAACAGAUUGUAAAGGUUCCAUUAACAAUGCAUCUCCUUGUAGAAUUGCCCCACUGUGCUCCUUGCCAACUGGUCGUGGAAAGGGUAGUUGCAAAUUGAACGGCAUGAAUGUGGCCGGCCAUGCUGCACCUCAUGCAAUGGUUAAGGAAGCAAGUUCAUGAACAAAUAAAGUGAAAAGGCUCUCUUUUGGGUGAUUAGUUUAGUGAAAAAAAAUGAAAUACAAUUGAUUCAACUCUUAGUUUUUCUUGUAUUAAAUUUAUGUUUUUGAACAUCUAAUAUGAGUUUAAACUUG